AACAAGUGAAAGGCUGGAAAAGUAAAUAAAACAUGGCAGAUUCUGUCAUUUCUAUUUGGAUGGAGUUUCAACAUGUGGUAUCUUCAUCAAACAUUUAGUGACUGACAUAACAAAUAAAGAAAAUGUGAUGGAAGCUGUAAGAAAACCGAAGGUGUAUGAAAGCUUUGAAGCUCUGCAGCAGAGCUGCACAACCGAUUGUGGAAUCUGCUCUGCUAAAGCAAUGGCAAAAUUGUGAUAACUGUUCUGUGUCCUUGGGUUUUCACAGUCCUGCUGGACUAUGUGGCAGUCUGGCAGAAUAGGAUUUGUUCUCACUUGCUGAGGUAACUGCUUUAACUCCUUUCCACUAACACUCUUAUCGUUUUCUGAGAGACUCUGUUGCUUGAUGCAGCAUUAGCUUUGCUAAGGCAAAUCUGCCAAGAAAGUAC
Molecule: long non-coding RNA, 425 nt
Filed under: Parus major (Great Tit)
Lineage: Eukaryota; Metazoa; Chordata; Aves; Passeriformes; Paridae
Description: lncRNA (ENSPMJG00000000305.1)
Source: RNAcentral